GCANGCUCAACUGGAUAGAGUACUUGACUACGAAUCAAGCGGUUAGAGGUUCGACUCCUCUUGGGCG
Molecule: transfer RNA, 67 nt
Filed under: Listeria monocytogenes
Lineage: Bacteria; Bacillati; Bacillota; Bacilli; Caryophanales; Listeriaceae
Description: tRNA-Arg
Rfam family: tRNA (bases 5-61)
About the family: Transfer RNA (tRNA) molecules are approximately 80 nucleotides in length. Their secondary structure includes four short double-helical elements and three loops (D, anti-codon, and T loops).
Source: RNAcentral